This 72-nucleotide transfer RNA is filed under the name Aeoliella straminimaris. It matches the Rfam family "tRNA". From Rfam's summary of the family: Transfer RNA (tRNA) molecules are approximately 80 nucleotides in length. Lineage: Bacteria; Pseudomonadati; Planctomycetota; Planctomycetia; Pirellulales; Lacipirellulaceae. The record is from Rfam by way of RNAcentral.
GGGGCUGUGGUGUAACGGUUGCACAUCGGACUUUUAAUCCGAGCAGUGAGGGUUCGAAUCCCUCCGGCCCCA